CACAAAUUAAAUCUGACGUUAAGUGUUUUCUCCCGUGACUCAACUAAUCUCAAAGAAUCCAAUUUCCCAACUUCUCCCGUGCUCCCAACUCACGUUCUCUAUGCUCCUCCGGUCCCUCAGCCGGCGCCGCUGUGCUGCUCCCUAAGCCGGCGUCGUCCUCUUCUCCGCUCCUCCAUGAUCCGCCUCGUUCUCCACCUCUAUUUAGAGCUCCGCCUCCCUACUAUCUUUCUCAAGGUACAUAUUUGUUCAUCUUUUGAAUAUAAACCUAACACACCUUUUAUAGUGAUCUAAUUUUGCUAGAAGCAUGAAACAUAUGAAUUUACUUUGUACUCUCUCUCUGAGUUUUUAUUGACUAUUUUUCCCCAAAUUUGAUGUGGGUUUCUCCAUUUUUAUUGUUAAUUUGUUAAUUUGUUGGGUUUUUUCCCUAGUAAAUAUCCGUUUCGGAUUAUAUAGAAUCUUGGGUUUAAUAGUUCAAAUUCAGUAAUCAGCGUAACAUGUCUUUGAGUUCUUCCAUGGCACCCUUGUGCUUUAGGAUCUGUAUUGGCUAUCUGCUAGCUGAAUUAUGAUGUUUUUCUUUAAUACUAGUAUUCAUUUGGGCAAACAGGCAUUCAAGGAUUUAUUACGACUUUCUAAUUAAUUGAAAUCAAGAUUCUUGGGUAUUUAACAUUGAGAAUUUUAAUAGCUUUUCAAUAAAGAAAUUUCAAUAUUCAUUUGGGUAAACACGCAUUCAUUUGGAUAAAUAAUUUUCAAAGCUUUCAUACCCGUAAAUUUAAACACUUUUUUUUUUUUUUUUUGUGAAGUUUUAAAAUAGUUCUUGGUGAGAUGCUCCACUUUAAGGUGUAGUAAUCAGUAAUCACCCCAUAACCAAGAUUUAUAAUACAAGUUCAAAUAGUUGAAGAUAAAACAUAUCUACAUUAAGUCGCGCAUUUUUUAUCCAAUGUUUCUUUAUUAUUAUUAUUUUUUUUGAUUUUUGGUUUGUGUUAUAGAUUGAAAUGUUUUUAGCCAUUAAUGCUAUUCUUGUUAGUUUUAGAUGUAAUUCCAUGAAUCUAUCUUGUUGUCUAGGCAUUUUAUUCAUUUAUAAUUAGGUGAGGCAUUUUAUCCAACACUUGAUAUGCAUGCUAUAUUAUAAUCUAUUGAUUGAAAAACACGAGCCACACAAACACAUACAAAAAAACAGUUCAAUCAAGGGAAGGUGGAGGAUAUAGAAACCGUAUGGACGAUUUUACCCCUGUUCUAAAAAUGGUUGGUCUUGAGUGAUUUUCAUAUUAUCAUUUGGCUGAAGUUCUGGUUUAAUCUAAAGUUGUUGGAAGGAAAAUUACCAGGUGCAAUUUUGGACGAUUUUACCCCUGAAUUACUUUGAAAGCUUAGUGGUGGCAGAUCGUUUUCUUGGUGGUGUCAGCCACCAUCAAUGCAUUGCUUUGAUAGUACAAUGCAUUUUGGUGUUGAUAUGUUCCAGAAGUUCAGCGCUCCAAUUGCACCUAAAGUACGCUUGAGUCUAUUAUAAUUGUUUUCUUUCAUUGAUAAUUGGUGCUGUUGUGCGUAUUCAAAAAACAAUGCAUUUGAUUGUAUACUAGAAAAAAGAUAAAAUUACAUAAAUGGUCCCUAUGGUUUACCUAAUGUCAUAAAUUCAGUCAUUGUUAAUUUUUUUGAUGAAUAUGGUCCCUAUGGUUUUCAAAACAUGCAUGAAUGUUCCUUUUUGCUUAAACAGUUAGUUUUCGUCUGUUAGUGUGAGGUUAAUUUGGUCUUUUCAGAUAGUAUGGACUGAGUUUGGGACCAUGGUUAAACCAUAUGGACCAUUUAUGUAAUUUUGUUAUAUAUGUUCACUAUUUGGAUAAAAUCGAAUUGUCUAAUUAGAUAAUUUGCUUUGGAUUGUUGUAUUGACUUUUAGCAAAUCAAAUUAUUAUUUUGGAUUGGUUUGGUUUAUAAAUAGUCCAAAAAAAUUGAAUAACAAUUAUUUGUAUUAUUUAUUUUUAAUAUAUAUCUCUAAUCAUUUAUAAAUUUACUAAAUUAUUUUUCUAAUAUAUUAGAAAGUUCAACCAAUAUAAUACAUUAAACUACAUUAUUUUUAUUGUUUCUCUUAAUAAUUAUUUAUAAAUUUUAAUAAACAACUAAAC
This 2114-nucleotide long non-coding RNA is filed under the name Lactuca sativa (garden lettuce). RNAcentral's name for it is "long non-coding RNA (LSAT_LNC003571)". The record is from RNAcentral. Lineage: Eukaryota; Viridiplantae; Streptophyta; Magnoliopsida; Asterales; Asteraceae.